UAGGGAAUCUUCGGCAAUGGACGAAAGUCUGACCGAGCAACGCCGCGUGAGUGAAGAAGGUUUUCGGAUCGUAAAACUCUGUUGUUAGAGAAGAACAAGGACGUUAGUAACUGAACGUCCCCUGACGGUAUCUAACCAGAAAGCCACGGCUAACUACGUGCCAGCAGCCGCGGUAAUACGUAGGUGGCAAGCGUUGUCCGGAUUUAUUGGGCGUAAAGCGAGCGCAGGCGGUUUCUUAAGUCUGAUGUGAAAGCCCCCGGCUCAACCGGGGAGGGUCAUUGGAAACUGGGAGACUGGAGUGCAGAAGAGGAGAGUGGAAUUCCAUGUGUAGCGGUGAAAUGCGUAGAUAUAUGGAGGAACACCAGUGGCGAAGGCGGCUCGCUGGUCUGUAACUGACGCUGAGGCUCGAAAGCGUGGGGAGCAAACAGG
Molecule: ribosomal RNA, 429 nt
Filed under: Gemmatimonadota bacterium
Lineage: Bacteria; Pseudomonadati; Gemmatimonadota
Description: Gemmatimonadetes bacterium partial 16S ribosomal RNA
Rfam family: Bacterial small subunit ribosomal RNA
Source: RNAcentral